AACGCACCUUGCGCUCCCGGCAGAUCUAAUCUGGGGAGCAUGCCUGUUUGAGGGCCGCGAAUUGUUUCGAACGACAGCUUUUUUUCUUUGUGAAAAAGUUGGCGGAUCGGUAUUGAGGGUUUGCCAUUUACCAUGGCUCCCUCGAAAUGCAUUAGCGCAUCCAUUUGAUAGGCAAGACGGACGAAAGCUCGAUUUUCGCCCUCUCUUCCCUGCCGGGUUUUGAUAAUAUCAGGACUUCGGAGGCGGAGAAAGGGUUAGAGCUGGACGCAACGUUUUGCUGUUUGGAGUGCUUCUGAAACCCGCCCAUGCCUCUUUCUUCGGAAAAAGGAAGGGAUUUUUUUUUUCAAUUCAUCGGCCUCAGAUUGGUAGGACUACCCGCUGAACUUAA
RNAcentral lists this unclassified non-coding RNA (388 nucleotides) under Ustilago sp. RNAcentral describes it as "partial contains 5.8S ribosomal RNA, internal transcribed spacer 2, and large subunit ribosomal RNA". Lineage: Eukaryota; Fungi; Basidiomycota; Ustilaginomycetes; Ustilaginales; Ustilaginaceae. RNAcentral also lists the same sequence under 1 other name. The record is from RNAcentral.